RNAcentral lists this long non-coding RNA (332 nucleotides) under Mustela putorius furo (domestic ferret). RNAcentral's name for it is "lncRNA (ENSMPUG00000030374.1)". The record is from RNAcentral. Lineage: Eukaryota; Metazoa; Chordata; Mammalia; Carnivora; Mustelidae.
UCGUCUCCCUGCCGUUCCCCCUGCUUGUGUUCACUCUCUCUCUUUCUCUCCUUCACAGAUAAAAUCCUUAAAAACAAAAGCCCCCCAGAAGAACACAGCCCAUGCGGACACCUAGACGUUUAGCCUUAAUGAAUCUCAGUUUGGACUUCUGACCUUCAAAACUGUAAUAUCUUACAUUCGUGGCAUUUUAAGCCAGCUCAGCUCCAGAACCACCCCCUCCAAGUUGUCUUCCUGGAUUUACUCAGCCCAAAGCUAUACUUCUCUUUCCUGGGUAAGUUAUAGCUCUUAGUUCAUUCCUCUUAUUUGCCCCCUAGUCCCUCAUCCGUGACCAU